RNAcentral lists this long non-coding RNA (405 nucleotides) under Nicotiana benthamiana. RNAcentral describes it as "long non-coding RNA (NBEN_LNC009227)". The record is from RNAcentral. Lineage: Eukaryota; Viridiplantae; Streptophyta; Magnoliopsida; Solanales; Solanaceae.
CCCCUUCACCAGUUGACCCGACCCGGCUGCAAUCAAUCUUGCAAUACUACUACUAUAAUCCUCAACAUUCGGAGCCAAAGUAGUCCAAUAAGCAGCAGAACUCCUCUCCAUAUCUUCCUUUUUCUUCUCCAUUUCUUCUGGUGACACAUCCUUUGCUGCCAUCCACCAUUUUUCUUCAACUCCUUUAUUAUCCUUCUUCACUUUCUCCACUCUAAAAGCACUAUACUUUUCCAAUACUAAAUCUAACUCCUUUAGUACCUUUUCUUGUCCUUUUGAUGCUAUAGUUAAACCAUAGUUGAGUAAAUUAUCUUCAUCAUUUGCUUCAGAAGGGAUUCUAAGAGUGAAGAAAUAGUGAGAUUCAUCAAGUUUUAUAGCAGCCUCAUCUUUGGCUAAAGGCCAUUGGAU